This 348-nucleotide ribosomal RNA is filed under the name uncultured bacterium. RNAcentral describes it as "partial 16S ribosomal RNA". It matches the Rfam family "Bacterial small subunit ribosomal RNA", at positions 450 to 795 of the family's 1533-position model. The record is from RNAcentral.
CCUACGGGCGGCAGCAGUGAAUUGACGGUACCUGCAACGGAAGCACCGGCUAACUCCGUGCCAGCAGCCGCGGUAAUACGGAGGGUGCGAGCGUUAAUCGGAAUUACUGGGCGUAAAGCGCUCGUAGGCGGUAUGUCAAGUCAAGGGUGAAAUCCCCGCGCUCAACGUGGGAACUGCCUUUGAAACUGGCAAACUGGAGUGUGUGAGAGGAUAGUGGAAUUCCAGGUGUAGGAGUGAAAUCCGUAGAUAUCUGGAGGAACAUCAGUGGCGAAGGCGACUAUCUGGCACAUAACUGACGCUGAGGAGCGAAAGCGUGGGUAGCAAACAGGAUUAGAUACCCUUGUAGUC